UACGUAGGGGGCUAGCGUUGUCCGGAAUCAUUGGGCAUAAAGAGCGUGUAGGCGGUCCGGUAAGUCCGCUGUGAAAGUCGGGGGCUCAACCCUCGAAUGCCGGUGGAUACUGUCGGGCUAGAGUGCGGAAGAGGCGAGUGGAAUUCCUGGUGUAGCGGUGAAAUGCGCAGAUAUCAGGAGGAACACCUAUUGCGAAGGCAGCUCGCUGGGACGUAACUGGCGCUGAGACGCGAAAGCGUGGGGAGCAAACAGG
Molecule: ribosomal RNA, 253 nt
Filed under: uncultured bacterium
Lineage: Bacteria
Description: partial 16S ribosomal RNA
Rfam family: Bacterial small subunit ribosomal RNA
Source: RNAcentral